RNAcentral lists this ribosomal RNA (599 nucleotides) under uncultured bacterium. RNAcentral describes it as "bacterial SSU rRNA". The stretch from base 1 to 520 matches the Rfam family "Bacterial small subunit ribosomal RNA", at positions 338 to 873 of the family's 1533-position model. The record is from RNAcentral.
CCUACGGGAGGCAGCAGUAGGGAAUUUUCCACAAUGGGCGAAAGCCUGAUGGAGCAAUACCGCGUGCAGGAUGAAGGCCUUCGGGUCGUAAACUGCUUUUAUGUGCGAAGAAUUUGACGGUAACACAUGAAUAAGGAUCGGCUAACUACGUGCCAGCAGCCGCGGUCAUACGUAGGAUCCAAGCGUUAUCCGGAAUUACUGGGCGUAAAGAGUUGCGUAGGUGGCAUUAUAAGUGGAGCGUGAAAGCGUGCGGCUCAACCGCAUUAUUGCGUUCCAAACUGUGAAGCUUGAGUAUGGGAGAGGUAGAUGGAAUUUCUAGUGUAGGAGUGAAAUCCGUAGAUAUUAGAAGGAACACCGAUGGCGUAGGCAGUCUACUGGCCCAUUACUGACACUAAGGCACGAAAGCGUGGGGAGCAAACGGGAUUAGAUACCCCGGUAGUCCACGCUGUAAACUAUGGAUGCUAGCUGUGACACACAUCGACCUGUGUCGUAGCGAAGUUAACGCGUUAAGCAUCCCGCCUGGGGGAGGUACGGUCGCGAGAGUAACUAACGAAGAAGUAGACGCGNGAGACGUGCGACGACGACGACGAGGGAGGAGG